GAUAAACGCUGGCGGCGUGCCUAACACAUGCAAGUCGAACGCCCUACGCAAGUAGGGAGUGGCGGACGGGUGAGGAACACGUGGGUUAUCUGCCUUGAGGUGAGGAAUACCGGCGAGAAAUCGCCGACAAUACCGCAUACGUUCGUAAGAACAAAGUCGCAAGACGCCCCCAAGAUGAGCCUGCGUCCGAUUAGCUAGUUGAUGGGGUAAAAGCCUACCAAGGCAGCGAUCGGAGCUGGUCUGAGAGGACGAUCAGCCACACUGGGAUUGAGAACGGCCCAGACUCCUACGGGGGGCAGCAGUGAGGAAUUUUCGUCAAUGGCCGAAAGGCUGAACGAGCAACGCCGCGUGCAGGAAGAAGGUCUUCGGAUCGUAAACUGCUUUUCUGGGGGAAGAGACCGGACGGUACCCCAGGAAGAAGCCCCGGCUAACUACGUGCCAGCAGCAGCCGCAGUAAG
This 458-nucleotide ribosomal RNA is filed under the name uncultured bacterium. RNAcentral describes it as "bacterial SSU rRNA". It matches the Rfam family "Bacterial small subunit ribosomal RNA", at positions 28 to 524 of the family's 1533-position model. The record is from RNAcentral.